GAUGAACGCUAGCGGCAGGCCUAACACAUGCAAGUCGAGGGGGAGGUUACUUUCGGGUAACUGAGACCGGCGUACGGGUGCGUAACGCGUAUACAAUCUGCCUUUCACUGGGGGAUAGCCCGAAGAAAUUUGGAUUAAUACCCCAUAGUAUAGUAAUACGGCAUCGUGAUGCUAUUAAAGCUUAGGUGGUGAAAGAUGAGUAUGCGUUCUAUUAGCUAGUUGGAGAGGUAACGGCUCCCCAAGGCGAUGAUAGAUAGGGGUUCUGAGAGGGAUGUCCCCCACACUGGUACUGAGAUACGGACCAGACUCCUACGGGAGGCAGCAGUGAGGAAUAUUGGACAAUGGUCGGAAGACUGAUCCAGCCAUGCCGCGUGCAGGAUGAAGGUCUUAUGGAUUGUAAACUGCUUUUGUAAGGGAAGAAUAAGGGCUACGCGUAGUUUGAUGACGGUACCUUACGAAUAAGCAGCGGCUAACUCCGUG
RNAcentral lists this ribosomal RNA (480 nucleotides) under uncultured bacterium. RNAcentral describes it as "partial 16S ribosomal RNA". It matches the Rfam family "Bacterial small subunit ribosomal RNA", at positions 28 to 507 of the family's 1533-position model. The record is from RNAcentral.